UGGGGGACGAAUUUCGUGACGGUACCCCAGGUAACAAGGGGCUGCUAACUUCGUGCCAGCAGCAGCGGUAACACGAAGGCCUCAAACGUUAUCCCGGAAUUACUGGGCUUACAGGGUCCGCAGGCGGUUUAGUAAGUUGGUAGUAAAAUCUUCAGGCUUAACCUGGAGGCUGCUACCAAAACUACUAAACUUGAGGCUGGAAGAGGUGGAUGGAAUUCUCGGUGUAGUCGUAAAAAGCGUUGAUAUCGAGAGGAACACCGAAUGCGAAAGCAAUCCACUGGGACAAGCCUGACGCUCAGGGACGAAAGCAUGGGUAGCGAAGCGGAUUAGAUACCCGCGUAGUCCAUGCCGUAAACAAUGUGCACUAGCUAUUGGGAGUAUCGACCCUCUCAGUGGCGCUUUUAAAAAAGUUAAAGCGUUAAGUGCACCGCCUGGGGAGUACGGCCGCAAGGCUUAAACUCAAAGGAAUAGACGGGGGGCCGCACAAGCGGUGGAUCAUGUGGUUUAAUUCGAUGAUACGCGACGAACCUUACCUGGGCUUGACAUCCAGCUGCACGCCCUUGGAAACAAGGGAAGCCUUCGAGGGUGCUGGACAGGUGUUGCAUGGCCGUCGUCAGCUCGUGCCGUGAGGUGUUCCCUUAAGUGGGAUAACGAGCGUAACCCUUGUCGUAUGUUAAAUGUACAUGCGAGACUGCCGGCGCAAGUCGGAGGAAGGUGAGGAUGACGCCAGGUCAGCAUGGCCCUUACGCCCAGGGCUACACACAUGGUACAAUGGUCGGUACAACGGGCAGCCAACCCGCGAGGGGGAGCUAAUCCUUCAAAACCGAUCUAAGUUCGGAUUGCAGUCUGCAACUCGACUGCAUGAAGCUGGAAUCGCUAGUAAACGCAUAUCACCAACGUUGCGUUGAAUAUGUUCUCGGCCCUUGUACUCACCGCCCGUCACACCACGAAAGUUGGCAACACCCGAAGCUCCACGUAAGU
This 981-nucleotide ribosomal RNA is filed under the name uncultured bacterium. Its description in RNAcentral is "bacterial SSU rRNA". It matches the Rfam family "Bacterial small subunit ribosomal RNA", at positions 439 to 1440 of the family's 1533-position model. The record is from RNAcentral.